CGAGCGAGCUUGCCUAGAUGAUUUUAGUGCUUGCACUAAAUGAAACUAGAUACAAGCGAGCGGCGGACGGGUGAGUAACACGUGGGUAACCUGCCCAAGAGACUGGGAUAACACCUGGAAACAGAUGCUAAUACCGGAUAACAACACUAGACGCAUGUCUAGAGUUUGAAAGAUGGUUCUGCUAUCACUCUUGGAUGGACCUGCGGUGCAUUAGCUAGUUGGUAAGGUAACGGCUUACCAAGGCAAUGAUGCAUAGCCGAGUUGAGAGACUGAUCGGCCACAUUGGGACUGAGACACGGCCCAAACUCCUACGGGAGGCAGCAGUAGGGAAUCUUCCACAAUGGACGAAAGUCUGAUGGAGCAACGCCGCGUGAGUGAAGAAGGGUUUCGGCUCGUAAAGCUCUGUUGGUAGUGAAGAAAGAUAGAGGUAGUAACUGGCCUUUAUUUGACGGUAAUUACUUAGAAAGUCACGGCUAACUACGUGCCAGCAGCCGCGGUAAUACGUAGGUGGCAAGCGUUGUCCGGAUUUAUUGGGCGUAAAGCGAGUGCAGGCGGUUCAAUAAGUCUGAUGUGAAAGCCUUCGGCUCAACCGGAGAAUUGCAUCAGAAACUGUUGAACUUGAGUGCAGAAGAGGAGAGUGGAACUCCAUGUGUAGCGGUGGAAUGCGUAGAUAUAUGGAAGAACACCAGUGGCGAAGGCGGCUCUCUGGUCUGCAACUGACGCUGAGGCUCGAAAGCAUGGGUAGCG
RNAcentral lists this ribosomal RNA (747 nucleotides) under uncultured bacterium. RNAcentral's name for it is "bacterial SSU rRNA". It matches the Rfam family "Bacterial small subunit ribosomal RNA", at positions 50 to 770 of the family's 1533-position model. The record is from RNAcentral.